UUUGGAGGAUGGGGUCAGCCCUGAUCUAGCCAUCCCGCGUGUGCGUUGCAGGCCUUCGGGUUGUANAGCACUUUUGGCAGGGAAGANAAGGCUCUGGCUAAUACCUGGAGCUGCCGACGGUACCUGCAGAAUAAGCACCGGCUAACUACGUGCCAGCAGCCGCGGUAAUACGUAGGGUACAAGCGUUAAUCGGAAUUACUGGGCGUAACGCGUGCGCAGGCGGUUCGGCAAGAAGGAUGUGAAAUCCCCGGGCUUAACCUGGGAACUGCAUUCUUAACUGCCGGGAUAGAGUAUGGCAGAGGGGGGUAGAAUUCCGCGUGUAGCAGUGAAAUGCGUAGAGAUGCGGAGGAAUACCGAUGGCGAAGGCAGCCCCCUGGGAUAAUACUGACGCUCAUGCACGAAAGCGUGGGGAGCAAAC
RNAcentral lists this ribosomal RNA (418 nucleotides) under uncultured bacterium. RNAcentral's name for it is "partial 16S ribosomal RNA". It matches the Rfam family "Bacterial small subunit ribosomal RNA", at positions 363 to 773 of the family's 1533-position model. The record is from RNAcentral.